UACGUAGGGUGCAAGCGUUGUCCGGAAUUAUUGGGCGUAAAGAGCUCGUAGGCGGUCUGUCGCGUCGGCUGUGAAAACCCGGAGCUCAACUCCGGGCCUGCAGUCGAUACGGGCAGACUGGAGUUCGGCAGGGGAGACUGGAAUUCCUGGUGUAGCGGUGAAAUGCGCAGAUAUCAGGAGGAACACCGGUGGUGUAAACGGCUUUCUGGACCAUAACUGACGCUGAGGCACGAAAGCGUGGGUAGCAAACAGG
RNAcentral lists this ribosomal RNA (253 nucleotides) under uncultured bacterium. Its description in RNAcentral is "partial 16S ribosomal RNA". It matches the Rfam family "Bacterial small subunit ribosomal RNA", at positions 524 to 776 of the family's 1533-position model. The record is from RNAcentral.